ACCUGACUCCCGUACCUCGGCAGGCUAUCCUGUGGGUGAUUCCCCCUCGUUCAGCUAAGUGCGCUGAGCGCUGUCGCGGUCUGAGCGCUGUACGCUCUGUCUCCCUCACAGCCGGGGAUAACUGGCGCUGCCUCAUUGCUGAGGGCCCCUGGUGGAGAGACUGGUGGUGACUCCGGGUGGCGGUAUCUCCCUCCUUGUGUGAUGUGUCGGGCAACCCUGGUUUGAGGGUGUGUGUUUUUCACGCGUGAUUUGGAUGACCCCUGGGAUCCCUCGUUCCUCCUUUACCCAGGUCUCCAUCGGCAAGCCUCAGCUCUGAUCAGGCCUCCCCAUUUUUCUGGGUGGCGUUGUCUGGCUUCCCGUGGUAAAAGUACUGUUAUCCCUUGACUUACUAUUCCCCACCCGCAUGCCACAUUUGCUAUGCCGGGAUAGACGAUGGUUAGCCAAGGCUGUCUCGGGGUGUCAGAGUUGCAGAAUUUAGGUUAUAUCUUGCAAGAUGCACUGCAGUAAAUAUACAACAGACUCAGACAGAGACCAAGUGGAACUUUGGAAGAAGCCAUUCUGUUUGUGAGAUGACAACAUUAUUUGGAGAGAACUAAAGUGGAGCACAGUGAGCAGGAAUAGACCCAAAAGGAGAGAUCGAGGAGAUAGUUCUCAAGACAGCGAUACGGACAGGCCGCAGACCAAAGCAAUGAGAUCUGAUCAAAACAGUGAUGAGGGGUUUAAAGUGAAGGGAGGUUCCGGAUUUACUGCUGUCAGUCCCCUUAAAUUGACAAAUUAACUUAAAAAAAAGAUUGGUGAUGUAAUGCAUGCCCCACUUAUGCAAAAUGGAAUGAUCUCUAUUAUAUUCAAGUCAGCAAUGCAACAAACUAAGGUGCUCAAGAUAAAAAAUGUGCUGGGUAAGGGAGUCAAGGUUUUCAAGCCAUGGUUAAAUACUGAGGUUAAAAGAGUAAUGUACAAUGUGUCAUUGGAAUUAUCUGAGCAAGAAAUAUUAACCUGUCUGAAGGGAGGCAAUGUCACGGCUGCAGAGCGCAUGGGCAGGGGUGAGAAUGGAAGAGGAACCACCCCUGUCCUUCUCACCUUCAGAGAUGAUGUGGUACCUAAGAGAGUCAUGUUGGGAUAUAUGAUAUACACAGUGAAAGAGUAUGAAAGACCCCCUAUGAGAUGCUUUAAGUGCCAGAAAUAUGGGCAUGUGGCAGCUGUGUGUAAUGGAAAGCGAAUGUAUAGAUGAUCCUAAACAAAUCUAGACAGAGCAGGGUGGGUGGACGGGGGCCA
Long non-coding RNA from Scophthalmus maximus (turbot), 1272 nucleotides. RefSeq lists it as uncharacterized. The record is from RefSeq and is a predicted model, not a curated record. The transcript is spliced from 3 exons. NCBI's taxonomy places the organism in Eukaryota, Metazoa, Chordata, Actinopteri, Pleuronectiformes, Scophthalmidae.